This 503-nucleotide ribosomal RNA is filed under the name uncultured bacterium. RNAcentral describes it as "partial 16S ribosomal RNA". It matches the Rfam family "Bacterial small subunit ribosomal RNA", at positions 30 to 523 of the family's 1533-position model. The record is from RNAcentral.
AUUGAACGCUGGCGGCAGGCUUAACACAUGCAAGUCGAGCGGGGUGAUGGUGCUUGCACUAUCACUUAGCGGCGGACGGGUGAGUGAUGCUUAGGAAUCUGCCUAUUAGAGUGGGACAACAUCUCGAAGGGGAUGCUAAUACCGCAUACGUCCUACGGGAGAAAGCAGGGGAUCACUUGUGACCUUGCGCUAAUAGAUGAGCCUAAGUCGGAUUAGCCAGUAGGUGGGGUAAAGGCAGACCAAGGCGACGAUCUGUAGCGGGUCGGAGAGGAUGCUCCGCCACACAGGGACCGAGAGAUGGCAGCGACUUCUACGGGAGGCAGCAGUGAGGAAUAUUGCACAAUGGGGGGAACCCUUAUCUAGCCAUGCCGCGUGUGUAAAGAAGGCCUUAUGGUUAUAAAGAACUUUAAUCGAGGAGGAGGCUCUUUUCGUUAAUACCCAAGAUUAGUGGACGUUACUCGCAUCAUAAGCACCGGCUAACUCUGUGCCAGCCGCCGCCGUAC